GCCAAAAUAGCUCAGGGGUAGAGCAACGCUCUCGUAAAGCGUAGGUCGUGGGUUCAAUUCCCACUUUUGGCUCAA
RNAcentral lists this transfer RNA (75 nucleotides) under Oceanispirochaeta crateris. RNAcentral describes it as "Oceanispirochaeta sp. K2 tRNA-Thr". It matches the Rfam family "tRNA". Rfam says of the family: Transfer RNA (tRNA) molecules are approximately 80 nucleotides in length. Their secondary structure includes four short double-helical elements and three loops (D, anti-codon, and T loops). Lineage: Bacteria; Pseudomonadati; Spirochaetota; Spirochaetia; Spirochaetales; Spirochaetaceae. The record is from RNAcentral.